Molecule: non-coding RNA, 74 nt
Organism: Podarcis lilfordi (Lilford's wall lizard)
Lineage: Eukaryota; Metazoa; Chordata; Lepidosauria; Squamata; Lacertidae
Source: the annotation of a GenBank genome assembly
GGACCAUAGCUCAGUGGUAGAGCAGCUGGCCUCUUCAUGCAGAAGGUGUCAGGUUCAAGCCCUGGAGACCUCCA